This 2242-nucleotide long non-coding RNA is filed under the name Mus musculus (house mouse). RNAcentral's name for it is "novel transcript". The record is from RNAcentral. Lineage: Eukaryota; Metazoa; Chordata; Mammalia; Rodentia; Muridae.
UUUUAUUAUAGACAUGAGCUGCCUCCCUCCCAUAGUGCUUGUUAUUAUGAAGUCAGGAUCUGUAGACUGAGCCCACAAUGCUGCACAGGCAAGGAGCUAGCUGUCCAUUCCCCUCAUGGAUGAGAUAGCAUGGAAUCUUUUGAGGCUGUAACUGAUGAUAGUGGAGAACAAACUGUCAAGAAAGCUACACUACUUUUGGCUUUCAUUCUGUCAGGAAUUAUUGGCUGCUUGACUGAUGCACAGACAUGUUGAAGGUACCAUGUACUAACUGAAAGACAAACUGAUAAGAUGGAUGACCAUAACUUUGUGCUUCAGGUGACACCACCCAUGAAAGAUAAUCUAGCCUGCACCAGAAAAAGGAAAUUUCUUCAUGUUAAUUUCCAUGAUACUUUUUUAUGCAGGUGCUCCAGAAACAUUCCUGUUUGAUGGUUCUUAACUUUUUCCAAUGGUCUUCAAAAAAGUCUGGGAAUAUAGACAUCUCCACUAGCCAUUUAAGACGAAAUGUUUGAUUCAAUUUUUUUUUUACUUUGUACAAAAAUCAACUAAAAAUGAAUCCAAAUUUUUAUGUGAUCUUGAACUUUGUUUGCUAAUAUUUUUUCUUUUCUUAUUAAUCAUACAUAGUUUUUCUCAUUAUAUAUAAUCUGAAUACAGCUUCCUCUCCCUCUACUCCUUCUCAUUCCUCCCACCUCUUCUAUCUAUAUCUAUCUCAUUUUAGUCUUAUUAGGAAAGGUCAGUCUUCUAAGACAUAACUAUGAAUCACAACAAAAUAAAAUAUGUGAUUAAACAAAAAAUUUUUUUCAUAUCAAAAUAAGGCAAGACAAGACAGGCUAAAAAGAAAGGAGCGACAAAUUAAAGUGCAAGAACCAGAAACUAAUUCAUUUCCAUGUUCUUGGGUCUCAUAAAAUUAAUAAACACAAGGGAAUAGUAUAUAUAUAUAUACAGAGGACCUCAUGUGUAUCAUUUAGGCCCGGUGAUUGAUGCUUCAGUCUCUAUGAGUGAACAUGAACCAAAUCACAUAAACGUGAAAUGUGAAAUUAUAUAUUUUUUAGAAACUAUCACUCAUAUUAGAAGCUGUGUAAUAUACCAAGGAUAAAUAUGUGUGUGUGUGUGAGAGACAGAGAGAGAGAGAGAGAAAGAGAGAGAGAGAGAGAGAGAGACAGACAGACAGACAGACAGAUAGAGAGACAGAGACAGACAGAGACAGACAGAGACAGACAGAGACAGAGACUGAGAGAUCAGGGAGAGUGUGAGAGAAGAUCAGAGGAAAAGUGUGAAAGAUCCAGGUCAGCUAAUAUAGUCCAUGAAGAUUUCCUAUAGCUAUGUAGAUAACUUCAAGAAUAGCAUUGGGGUGCUUUUUUCUGGUCCCUGUAACUGGUAGAACAGGGUCAAGCAAGACUCUUCAUGCUUUGGGAAAAUUCACUUACAACACUAACCAAAGCAAGGAGUUUGUAGAAUUUUCAGAGAAUGGGUGUAUAUAUAGAAUGCAGUUAGCUGAUGUUAUGCGGGAUCAUUGACCAGAGACUGCAAAGUGUACAGGAUGACAUCCCUGAAGAGUCCCAAGGAUAUGCUAUGGACAAAUACCUGAGAUUCUUUGACAAGUAUUAACAGAUAGCCGUCAUUGACUACUUCGCAAUAUUAUUAAAUCUAUGAAGUUCCCAUGAUGAUCUGAUUGACAUGGUUACAUGGAUAGGAUGAAUAUCAUUUAGUCCAACCACAGAGAUAUAAUCAGAGACAACCAAGGAAUGUUGAGAUGGGAAGAAAUAUCCUUUUCAAGAGAAGAGUCUCUCAAUUGGUCUUUCAUUAUCAGCUUGUUAGUCCUGAAAUACAAUACAUACAGGUUGCACAUUAUGGAAAAAGCAGUUGUAUUUGCACACACAGACACACUCACUCACACACACACACACAAACAUGCAUACACACAAGAUGGCUUUGAGAGAGGAAGUGUCAGAUUUCUUUAAGAGUUCCACUUUUCAGAGACUCAGUUCCAUCAAUGCCUCUACCCUAGGCACACACUAGCUUCUCUCAGAAGAUUUAGUGAUUUUUUUUUAAGGAACACAUAAUAUUUGGAGGGAAUUACUGUGGGUGGUUAAUAAAUAAAAGCAAUUGAAAAGAAAUAAUCUUUUUUAUAUAUUCAUAAAACACAUACGGCUGUAUGAAACACUCAAAUAUUUUAACUAAUACAAUUGUAAAACUAAAAGUUAAUUAAGUUGAUUUGUGUUGGAAGAAGUAAUUAAAGACUGUG